RNAcentral lists this ribosomal RNA (247 nucleotides) under uncultured bacterium. RNAcentral describes it as "partial 16S ribosomal RNA". It matches the Rfam family "Bacterial small subunit ribosomal RNA", at positions 64 to 339 of the family's 1533-position model. The record is from RNAcentral.
GAGCGAGGUAGCAAUACCUAGCGGCAGACGGGUGAGUAACAUGUGGGAAUCUGCCUUUUGGUUCGGAACAACACGGGGAAACCUGUGCUAAUACCGGAUAAGUCCUAACGGAGAAAGUUUUAAUGCCAAAAGAUGAGCCCGCAUUUGAUUAGUUUGUUGGUGAGGUAAUAGCUCACCAAGACUACAAUCAAUAGCUGAUUUGAGAGGACGAUCAGCCACACUGGAACUGAGACACGGUCCAGACUCC